CGCUUAUAGGAAUGGGUUAUUGUUUAUAAAUUGCUAGCUAUCCCAUAAAGCCACCACCGAAAACCACAUAUUUUCAUCUUCCUCUGAAGACGAUGCAAAGUUUUUUUUUUUUUUUUUUUAAGUAUGCAGCGUCCAUCUAACAACGGAGCGGUCAACAGCAAGGGGGCGUUGUGUUUCCAAUCUGUUGUGGACAUCCAUUGAAAUGCAGUACAUCUGGCGCAAUGUAACAGAGUGCUUAUGGGUAAUGAAAACUUGAGGGGCUUUAGGGUUGUCAGACAAUUUUUGGGCCAAACCUAGCUCAAAUUCUACACGUUGGAGUAAAACGAGGCUACAGCGUCCAUAAGGCUGCAAUCCACUCCCAGUUAAGCGGGGUCCGGUCAGGCCACCUUCAGCUCCAAAAUGCCCUGGGGGAUGUGAUGGACAUCCAGAACUUUCUUUCUGGUAGAAGUCAGCAAUGACUGGAGGCAAAACAUUAACACCAUUGAGAACCUGAAGUAUGUAAAAUAUGCUGGGACGCAACAUCAGCGGUGGCUCCUCAGAGGAGGAAAGUGAGGACCAUUCUCCUCAGUGAAUAUAUGUAUGCUAAAUAUAUUCACAUCACUAAAUAAUGAAUUAAAACACACUGUUUUGCAAUGAAGGUCUACAGUAGCCUCAACAGCACUCUCUGGGGUAGCACAAUGGUGUAGCUGGAGAACAGAUAGUUUCCGUCCUCCUCUGUGUACAUUAACUUCAUUACAAAACCUAAGAGGCUCAUGGUUGUCACCCCCUUCCAUAGACUUAGAGUAAUUAUGACUGUAUUAGAGGGUGAUGCCUCUGGAAUUUAUGCACUGAUUGAGUAGGUGAAGUUAUGGAGAUUGUGCUCUUAUUAGAGAAAUGGUGAGAGAGACAGUUCCUCAGUUUAGGGUUAUUUAAUGUUGAUUGGAGAUUAACAAUGUUUGCAAUUCUGUGCCAUGUCACUCAGCUGUGAUUAUCCAAUGAAC
RNAcentral lists this long non-coding RNA (980 nucleotides) under Oncorhynchus mykiss (rainbow trout). Its description in RNAcentral is "lncRNA (ENSOMYG00000052043.1)". Lineage: Eukaryota; Metazoa; Chordata; Actinopteri; Salmoniformes; Salmonidae. The record is from RNAcentral.